RNAcentral lists this ribosomal RNA (425 nucleotides) under uncultured bacterium. RNAcentral's name for it is "partial 16S ribosomal RNA". It matches the Rfam family "Bacterial small subunit ribosomal RNA", at positions 354 to 796 of the family's 1533-position model. The record is from RNAcentral.
GUGGGGAAUCUUAGACAAUGGGGGCAACCCUGAUCUAGCCAUGCCGCGUGAGUGAUGAAGGCCUUAGGGUUGUAAAGCUCUUUCAGUGGGGAAGAUAAUGACGGUACCCACAGAAGAAGCCCCGGCUAACUCCGUGCCAGCAGCCGCGGUAAUACGGAGGGGGCUAGCGUUGUUCGGAAUUACUGGGCGUAAAGCGCACGUAGGCGGAUCGGAAAGUUGGGGGUGAAAUCCCAGGGCUCAACCCUGGAACUGCCUUCAAAACUAUCGGUCUGGAGUCCGAGAGAGGUGAGUGGAAUUCCGAGUGUAGAGGUGAAAUUCGUAGAUAUUCGGAGGAACACCAGUGGCGAAGGCGGCUCACUGGCUCGGUACUGACGCUGAGGUGCGAAAGCGUGGGUAGCAAACAGGAUUAGAAACCCUGGUAGUCC